UACGGAGGGUGCGAGCGUUGUCCGGAAUCACUGGGCGUAAAGGGCGCGUAGGCGGCGCGAGCAGUCGGCGGUGAAAGCCCGGAGCUCAACUCCGGGUCGGCCGUCGAUACUCUCGUGCUUGAGCACUGUAGAGGCAGGUGGAAUUCCGGGUGUAGCGGUGGAAUGCGUAGAGAUCCGGAAGAACACCGGUGGCGAAGGCGGCCUGCUGGGCAGUAGCUGACACUGAUGAACGAAAGCCAGGGGAGCAAACGGG
Molecule: ribosomal RNA, 253 nt
Filed under: uncultured bacterium
Lineage: Bacteria
Description: partial 16S ribosomal RNA
Rfam family: Bacterial small subunit ribosomal RNA
Source: RNAcentral